CGUACACUCCUACGGGAGGCAGCAGUGGGGAAUAUUGGACAAUGGGCGCAAGCCUGAUCCAGCCAUGCCGCGUGAGUGAUGAAGGCCCUAGGGUUGUAAAGCUCUUUCACCGGUGAAGAUAAUGACGGUAACCGGAGAAGAAGCCCCGGCUAACUUCGUGCCAGCAGCCGCGGUAAUACGAAGGGGGCUAGCGUUGUUCGGAUUUACUGGGCGUAAAGCGCACGUAGGCGGACUAUUAAGUCAGGGGUGAAAUCCCGGGGCUCAACCCCGGAACUGCCUUUGAUACUGGUAGUCUUGAGUUCGAGAGAGGUGAGUGGAAUUCCGAGUGUAGAGGUGAAAUUCGUAGAUAUUCGGAGGAACACCAGUGGCGAAGGCGGCUCACUGGCUCGAUACUGACGCUGAGGUGCGAAAGCGUGGGGAGCAAACAGGAUUAGAAACCCCAGUAGUCCC
This 450-nucleotide ribosomal RNA is filed under the name uncultured organism. RNAcentral describes it as "partial 16S ribosomal RNA". It matches the Rfam family "Bacterial small subunit ribosomal RNA", at positions 330 to 797 of the family's 1533-position model. The record is from RNAcentral.